RNAcentral lists this ribosomal RNA (468 nucleotides) under uncultured bacterium. RNAcentral's name for it is "partial 16S ribosomal RNA". It matches the Rfam family "Bacterial small subunit ribosomal RNA", at positions 28 to 507 of the family's 1533-position model. The record is from RNAcentral.
GACGAACGCUGGCGGCGUGCUUAACACAUGCAAGUCGAACGGAAAGGCCCUGCUUUUGUGGGGUGCUCGAGUGGCGAACGGGUGAGUAACACGUGAGUAACCUGCCCUUGACUUUGGUAUAACUUCUGGAAACUGGUGCUAAUACCCGAUAGGAUCUCCUGCUGCAUGGUGGGGGUUGGAAAGUUUCGGCGUUUGGGGAUGGUCUCGCGGCUUAUCAGCUUGUUUGUGGGGUAGUGGCUUACCAAGGCUUUGACGGGUAGCCGGACUGAGAGGGUGACCGGCGACAUUGGGACUGAGAUACGGCCCAGACGCGUACGGGAGGCAGCAGUGGGGAAUAUUGCACAAUGGGAGGAAGCCUGAUGAAGCAAAGCAGCGUGCGGGAUGACGGCCUUCGGGUUGAAAACCGAUUUCGAAUGUGACGAAGAGGGAGUGACGGUAAUGGGUAAAGAAGCACCGGCUAACUACGUG